This 498-nucleotide ribosomal RNA is filed under the name uncultured bacterium. Its description in RNAcentral is "partial 16S ribosomal RNA". It matches the Rfam family "Bacterial small subunit ribosomal RNA", at positions 29 to 523 of the family's 1533-position model. The record is from RNAcentral.
AUUGAACGCUGGCGGCAUGCCUUACACAUGCAUGUCGAACGGUAACGCGGGGCAACCUGGCGACGAGUGGCGAACGGGAGAGUAAAGCAUCGGAACGUGCCCAGUAGUGGGGGAUAGCCCGGCGAAAGCCGGAUUAAUACCGCAUACGACCUGAGGGUGAAAGGGGGGGAUCGCAAGACCUCUCGCUAUUGGAGCGGCCGAUGUCAGAUUAGGUAGUUGGUGGGGUAAAGGCCUACCAAGCCGACGAUCUGUAGCUGGUCUGAGAGGACGACCAGCCACACUGGGACUGAGACACGGCCCAGACUCCUACGGGAGGCAGCAGUGGGGAAUUUUGGACAAUGGGCGCAAGCCUGAUCCAGCCAUGCCGCGUGCGGGAAGAAGGCCUUCGGGUUGUAAACCGCUUUUGUCAGGGAAGAAAUCCUUUGGGUUAAUACCUCGGGGGGAUGACGGUACCUGAAGAAUAAGCACCGGCUAACUACGUGCCAGCAGCCGCAGUAA